AACGAACGCUGGCGGCAGGCCUAACACAUGCAAGUCGAGCGAGGUCUUCGGGUCUAGCGGCGGACGGGUGAGUAACGCGUGGGAAUAUGCCUCUUGGUACGGAAUAGCCUCGGGAAACUGGGAGUAAUACCGUAUGUGCCCUUUGGGGGAAAGAUUUAUCGCCAAGAGAUUAGCCCGCGUUGGAUUAGGUAGUUGGUGGGGUAAUGGCCUACCAAGCCGACGAUCCAUAGCUGGUUUGAGAGGAUGAUCAGCCACACUGGGACUGAGACACGGCCCAGACUCCUACGGGAAGCAGCAGUGGGGAAUCUUAGACAAUGGGGGCAACCCUGAUCUAGCCAUGCCGCGUGAGUGAUGAAGGCCUUAGGGUUGUAAAGCUCUUUCAGCUGGGAAGAUAAUGACGGUACCAGCAGAAGAAGCCCCGGCUAACUCCGUG
RNAcentral lists this ribosomal RNA (433 nucleotides) under uncultured bacterium. Its description in RNAcentral is "partial 16S ribosomal RNA". It matches the Rfam family "Bacterial small subunit ribosomal RNA", at positions 29 to 507 of the family's 1533-position model. The record is from RNAcentral.